GACGUGGGGGGCCAGCGUUGCUCGGAAUUACUGGGUGUAAAGGGUUCGUAGGCGGUGUGGCAAGUCGGGAGUGAAAUCUCUGGGCUUAACCCAGAGACUGCUUCCGAAACUGCUGUGCUUGAGUGUGGGAGAGGCGCGUGGAAUUGCAGGUGUAGCGGUGAAAUGCGUAGAUAUCUGCAGGAACACCCGUGGCGAAAGCGGCGCGCUGGACCACUACUGACGCUGAGGAACGAAAGCUAGGGGAGCAAACAGG
RNAcentral lists this ribosomal RNA (253 nucleotides) under uncultured bacterium. Its description in RNAcentral is "partial 16S ribosomal RNA". It matches the Rfam family "Bacterial small subunit ribosomal RNA", at positions 524 to 776 of the family's 1533-position model. The record is from RNAcentral.